RNAcentral lists this ribosomal RNA (673 nucleotides) under bacterium 24F1. RNAcentral's name for it is "bacterial SSU rRNA". It matches the Rfam family "Bacterial small subunit ribosomal RNA", at positions 67 to 786 of the family's 1533-position model. The record is from RNAcentral.
CGGAUCCUUCGGGAUUAGUGGCAGACGGGUGAGUAACGCGUGGGAAGCUACCUUGUGGUAGGGGACAACAGUUGGAAACGACUGCUAAUACCCUAUGAGCCCUAUGGGGGAAAGAUUUAUCGCCAUGAGAUGUGCCCGCGUUAGAUUAGCUAGUUGGUAAGGUAAUGGCUUACCAAGGCGACGAUCUAUAGCUGGUCUGAGAGGAUGAUCAGCCACACUGGGACUGAGACACGGCCCAGACUCCUACGGGAGGCAGCAGUGGGGAAUAUUGGACAAUGGGGGCAACCCUGAUCCAGCCAUGCCGCGUGUGUGAUGACGGCCUUAGGGUUGUAAAGCACUUUCAGCAGUGAAGAUAAUGACAUUAACUGCAGAAGAAGCCCCGGCUAACUUCGUGCCAGCAGCCGCGGUAAUACGAAGGGGGCUAGCGUUGUUCGGAAUCACUGGGCGUAAAGAGUACGUAGGCGGACUGAUAAGUUAGGGGUGAAAUCCCAAGGCUCAACCUUGGAACUGCCUUUGAUACUGUCAGUCUUGAGAUCGAGAGAGGUGAGUGGAACUCCGAGUGUAGAGGUGAAAUUCGUAGAUAUUCGGAAGAACACCAGUGGCGAAGGCGGCUCACUGGCUCGAUACUGACGCUGAGGUANNNAAGCGUNNGGAGCAAACAGGAUUAGAUACC